Molecule: ribosomal RNA, 425 nt
Filed under: Staphylococcus aureus
Lineage: Bacteria; Bacillati; Bacillota; Bacilli; Caryophanales; Staphylococcaceae
Description: partial 23S ribosomal RNA
Rfam family: Bacterial large subunit ribosomal RNA
Source: RNAcentral
UCACAUCGACGGGGAGGUUUGGCACCUCGAUGUCGGCUCAUCGCAUCCUGGGGCUGUAGUCGGUCCCAAGGGUUGGGCUGUUCGCCCAUUAAAGCGGUACGCGAGCUGGGUUCAGAACGUCGUGAGACAGUUCGGUCCCUAUCCGUCGUGGGCGUAGGAAAUUUGAGAGGAGCUGUCCUUAGUACGAGAGGACCGGGAUGGACAUACCUCUGGUGUACCAGUUGUCGUGCCAACGGCAUAGCUGGGUAGCUAUGUGUGGACGGGAUAAGUGCUGAAAGCAUCUAAGCAUGAAGCCCCCCUCAAGAUGAGAUUUCCCAACUUCGGUUAUAAGAUCCCUCAAAGAUGAUGAGGUUAAUAGGUUCGAGGUGGAAGCAUGGUGACAUGUGGAGCUGACGAAUACUAAUCGAUCGAAGACUUAAUCAAAA